Molecule: microRNA, 24 nt
Filed under: Hordeum vulgare
Lineage: Eukaryota; Viridiplantae; Streptophyta; Magnoliopsida; Poales; Poaceae
Description: microRNA1120b
Source: RNAcentral
CUUAUAUUAUGGAACGGAGGGAGU